AGCAGCCGCGGUAAUUCCAGCUCCAAUAGCGUAUAUUAAAGUUGUUGCAGUUAAAAAGCUCGUAGUUGAAUUUCGGGGUCAGCAGGUCGGUCGUGCCACUGGUAUGAACUGGUCUCGCUGAUCCCUCCCUCUUGACGAACUGUGAUGCCACUAAUUUGGUGUCGCAGGGAAUCAGGACUGUUACUUUGAAAAAUUAGAGUGUUUAAAGCAGGCUUUCGCUUGAAUACAUUAGCAUGGAAUAAUGAAAUAGGACGUUUGAUCCUAUUUUGUUGGUUUCUAGGAUUGACGUAAUGAUUAAUAGGGAUAGUUGGGGGCAUUAGUAUUCAAUUGUCAGAGGUGAAAUUCUUGGAUUUAUUGAAGACUAACUACUGCGAAAGCAUUUGCCAAGGAUGUUUUCAUUAAUCAAGAACGAAAGUUAGGGGAUCGAAGACGAUCAGAUACCGUCGUAGUCUUAACCAUAAACUAUGCCGACUAGGGAUCGGAUGAUGUUAAUUUUUUAAUGACUCAUUCGGCGCCUUACG
Molecule: ribosomal RNA, 521 nt
Filed under: uncultured Glomus
Lineage: Eukaryota; Fungi; Glomeromycota; Glomeromycetes; Glomerales; Glomeraceae
Description: SSU rRNA
Rfam family: Eukaryotic small subunit ribosomal RNA
Source: RNAcentral